CUCUAAAAACGGCUGGGUUAUUUUUUAACCCAAAAUGCUGGGUUGAGUCUGUUGGGUCAUUUUGUUGGGUUAUUUAAUUUCUUUUUAAACACUUUUGGGUAGUUUCAAUUUACCAGGUGUUGGGUUAAACCUGCUGGGUUGCGUCGCUGGGUUGUUUCAGGCCAGCGCUGGGUUAUUUAACGCGCCUUGAAGAUGUUUAAAUCGCUCCCCAACUGUCACUUUGGAAGAACAACGGGGCAAAGCCACGGCUUUCAACUGUUUUAAGGUUGGAACAAACAUGGAAUUCCUUAACUGAGCAGAGUCCACAAAACCCCAUCCAAUUGUUGUGGCGAUUUAAAAAUGCCAGCAGAUCUCUCAGGCAUUGAUCAUAAUCAAUGUACAGGUCACCGUAGCCACCCGUAUCUCCUCUACCUCGACCUCUACAUCCCUGAAAGACAGCGGAGACCAGGACAACUAGAGCCCCAGAUACAGAUCCCCUGUAAAGACCUUGUCUCAGAGGAGCACCAGGACAAGACCACAGGAAACAGAUGAUUCUUCUGCACAAUCUGACUUUGCUGCAGCCUGGAAUUGAACUACUGGUUUCGUCUGGUCAGAGGAGAACUGACCCCCAACUGAGCCUGGUUUCUCCCAAGGAUUUUUCUCCAUUCUGUCACCGAUGGAGUUUUGGUUCCUUGUUUUUUUUUAGUUGGGGACAAUUAAUAUCAAGCGAUAUCAUCCACUUGAUUGCACAGAGGGACGAUACAUCACUGAAUCAAUGACGAAUUGACUUUAACUGAAAACUGAGUGUUUACUUUUGUCCCUUUGCAUUAUUACACACUAUUUUCCUAUUUAAUACUGUAAAGCUGCUAUGAUGCAGUAUUUGAUCAAUAUGACAGGCUUAUUACUCAUAAUACAUGGAAAAUACAGCUACAAACUGACUUUGUUUUUUCAUUUGAAAUUUGGCAGUCACUGUGCAUUCAUGAAAACUGAAACCGUAAUUUUUGUUCAGUGUUUUUGAAACAGUGUUUUUGUUCAAGAUUUGCAAUUAUGUUUGGAUUGUCACAAUUUGUCACAUGUGGAAAACGCAAUUGAAAAUAUAAUUAGCAAUUUCUUUUGAAAAUGGUCCUUCCAUAGCUCUAUAACGGAGUACACUGCUCUCAGGUGUAGAUCUUUGCUUCAGAGCUUAAGUGUUUGACAAUAGUUCACCCAAAAAUGAAAAUUGUCACUAAUUAUUCACCCUGGUCUGAAAGCUCUCGAAUAUCAACGAAAAUAUCUUAACUUGUGUUCUGAAGAUGAACGAAGGGCUUACGGGUUUGUAACGACAUGAAGUUGAGUGAUAAAUGACAGAAUUUUCAUUUUUGGGUGAACUAUAUGUUGAACUACCCUAAGCAGUGCACAUCUACCUACGUAGGAGUCUUUAUAUACUUGAUAUAAAUUUAAGGAUUAAUUAAUUUAAAGAAUGUUAAUUGUCAAUGUCAUUUCACUGUGUAUUUAAAUAGCUAAAAAUCUCAAAAUGUAAUAGUUAAACAGCUAGACACAGGUCAUUCAGAAAUAAUUUUCUUAUUUAUUGCAACUGUAUUUCUGUGAUUUUUUAUUUAUUUAUUUUGCAUUUGCUGGAAACAAAAAAAGGGAAAAUUCCAUGUUGUUUGUCAUUGGUACAAAUUUUUUAAUGUCAGAUGGCAUUAAAAAUAUUUUUUAACAGUCUAAAUAACCUGUAUUCUUCAUUAUUUAUUAAUCCAUGAUUGCUUUGUUAAGCAAAAGUGAAAUUAUGAGAAUAACCCAGCAAGAAUAACCCAGAAUCAUAAAAAAGCAAACCCACAAAUGGUAAAAAUGACUCUAUCUUGGGUUUUCUCAAUAACCCAGCAUGCUGGGUUAAAAUGUGUAAACCAGCAUGCUGGGUUACUUUAACCCAGCAUGUGUUCUGUCCAAUAUUUACCCAGUGCUGGGUUGCCAAUUGGGUUAUUUUUAACCCAGCCAUUUUUA
This is a long non-coding RNA of Carassius gibelio (silver crucian carp), 1962 nucleotides long. RefSeq lists it as uncharacterized. The transcript has 3 exons. Lineage: Eukaryota; Metazoa; Chordata; Actinopteri; Cypriniformes; Cyprinidae. The record is from RefSeq and is a predicted model, not a curated record.